UCUGCGAGUUGACUUUAAAUUAAGAAAUUAGAGUCAUUUUUAAUCAAGAUAAAUUUGAAUUAACAUAAUUUACAUAAUAUAAUUAAAAAAGGAGCCUCACAUCUCCACUUGUUAUGCGCUCGCACUUUGUACUUUCACGAUCCUUAUCAAAACCAAAACAAAUUUGUCGAAAAAGAUUAGAUAACAAUCUCCAAACGCUGACUGUAAACCUCCAAUUCUACAUUUUUUGUUCGUGGUUUUUUUAUUCCUCUAGCAAUGAGCAGCGACUCCGAAUUAAAAUCCCUGGUAGACCCUUGCCACCUGGAGGCAGCCCUCCGCCAGAAAUACGGACCGGGGGUGAGCCGAUUGCGCGACUUUGUGGUGAGCAGGGCGACGGCAAACGUGCUCGGAAUCACUUCGCUCGUCCUGCGAGUGCGAGUGAAUCUGGAAUCGGGUGAAAGAGACUCUUUUGUGGUCAAAAGACUGCCGUUGUGCUCAAAGCAACUUGAGUUGGUUGACAAUUGCAACUCUUUUGAGCGAGAAAUCGAAUUUCUAACCAAGUACGCGCCGAUGUUGCGUCAAAGGGCCGAUGACCAACUUUUGGUGGUAGAUUGUUUUUUCGGCCAAGAUCGCGUGCUUGUGCUUGAAGACUUGUGUGCAAGUGGAUUUAAGUGUCCGGUCGACACCAUCGGCGACCUCCGGUUCAAUUUGUUCACCGAGGAGCACGCGAGGGCCGUCGUCCGGGCGCUCGCCAAGCUGCACGCGGCCUCUACGGGUGUUGAUUGGGACAAAAACUUUCCUCAUUUUCUGCCUCACAACCCGCUUUUUGACGGAGCAGACGGAGAAUUUUUCAAAUCAACUCUCGAGUCGGCAAUUGAAGGGCUACUUUAUUUGACCGACGAGUUUUUGAAGGAAAUUUACUCGGAAGUGGUAACUUGGUUGCAAGGUGGCGACCUUUUCCACAAAAUGAGGCGAUUCGGAAAGCGUUCUGAUAAAAUGUUAAACGUGCUGAACCACGGCGACCCUUGGGGGAACAACAUUUUGUUUCGGCGGAACGAGCAAACGGGAGAGUUGGAACUGAAAAUGGUCGAUUAUCAAUUGGCGAAGUUCGCGCCGGCCACUUCCGAUUUGCUGUAUUUUCUUUACACAAGUACAAGUUGCGAAUUUCGCUCGCAGCACGAACGCGCCUUGCUCAAGUAUUAUGUCCGGGAAUUCAACGCAGCGGUGGACGAAGAUUACAAGUUGGACUGGUCCGAGUUCGAGGCCCAUUGUAAAGAGUCGCGGCUCUAUGGCCUUUUGUUUGCCGUUUUGUGUCGGCCGAUGCUGCACAUGCACAAAAAGACGCCGAGUAGCGAGAUGAGCGACGAAACUUUCAUGCAGUUUAUGGAAAGGGAUUACAAGGGCCAUGAGCGGAAUCAAAAUUUGAGAGAUGAAAUUUGCGAAAUAUUUGUUGACUUGGUACAGUAUUAUUUUAUUAUACAAAUGAAUAAAAACUAAUUUGAAAUUAUGAAUUUUCGUAUAAGUGUGUAGUAUGAAUGAAAAAAUUAACAAAAGUAUUAUAAAAAUAUAUGGUCUCCUGGUCUCCAAAAAAAUUAUUUUAUUUGAUGACGGGAUAUGCAGGCGAUAAUACAGAAAUAAUGUAUAGAAAAAUUGUGCUGCAAAUAUCUGCGCUUAUGUAUAAUUAUUCUGGAAUAAAAUUAUAAAAAAUUAAAAAUAUUUAUAAAAGAAAAUUAAAUUAUACAAAUAUUCAUGAAAAAUUGUUGAAGUACUGGGAUAAUUUUAUGCUUACAAUUAAGCUUUUAAUUUUUAAACAUAAGGUUUUCUUGUGUAAAUAAAUCAUUAAUCAUUAAUAAUUUGGGCAUUCUCUGCCCAAAUACAUCAUCCAAAAAUUCAAUAUAUUUAAUUUACUUUGUUGAUAGUAAAAAAAUUAACGAAGUCGGAUAAAAAUAUAAUUAGAUUUCAGAUUAGAUGAGAUAAAAGUUUUAAACAUUUGAGCACAAAUUUAAAGUCAUCAACAUGCACAAAAAAUACUUUCAUAACAUGCUAAUGUUGCCCGUAGAACACGUCAAGUCAUUACAUGCUAGUUAAAAUUAUGUCCGAAAAAACUCAAACCGAUCAUAAAUUAGUAAUAAUUUAUUAUGUUUAAUUAACACCAGUACUCUUGGCGAUUUUAAAAUUUUCUAAUAUUUGGUGCUGCAAUUCCAACAUCGCCAUGUCGCCGCUCUUGCAAUUUCUCGAAUUCUCCUUGGUCAUCGAGACCAAAGAAUCCCAAGCCUUCAAAAAGUGCAGAGUUCGUGAGAGUCACCGUCUCCCAGAUCUUUCCCAGGUGCCAAAUGACCGGCCCGGGCGUUCGCCACAAACCUAUACGCACCAACUAGAGGGGGUGACGGAGCGAGGAGUGGGUGGAGGUAUAAAAGCAAAGGUCGCCGCCCUGACCUUUCUUUCGCGAUUACCACUCCAUGCAGGUCACGUCGCAUCUCUCAGCAGCCAUGUCUCUCAAGUGCAUUGCCAUUUUGCUGGUUGUGAGCAGCGUCGCGCUCGCGGGCCGAAAGGACAAGGAUGACUUUCAGCGUCCGAGCCGGUGCCCCUACGCGGACGAACAGUACAGCAUGCAGGACUCCGAGUUUGGCAAGAAGUCUCCGUGC
Molecule: RNA transcript, 2624 nt
Organism: Neocloeon triangulifer
Lineage: Eukaryota; Metazoa; Arthropoda; Insecta; Ephemeroptera; Baetidae
Exons: 2
Source: RefSeq, a predicted model, not a curated record